Molecule: ribosomal RNA, 484 nt
Filed under: uncultured bacterium
Lineage: Bacteria
Description: partial 16S ribosomal RNA
Rfam family: Bacterial small subunit ribosomal RNA
Source: RNAcentral
AUUGAACGCUAGCGGGAUGCUUUACACAUGCAAGUCGAACGGCAGCGCGGACUUCGGUCUGGCGGCGAGUGGCGAACGGGUGAGUAAUGUAUCGGAACGUGCCCAGUAGCGGGGGAUAACUACGCGAAAGCGUAGCUAAUACCGCAUACGCCCUACGGGGGAAAGCAGGGGAUCGUAAGACCUUGCACUAUUGGAGCGGCCGAUAUCGGAUUAGCUAGUUGGUGAGGUAUCGGCUCACCAAGGCGACGAUCCGUAGCUGGUUUGAGAGGACGACCAGCCACACUGGGACUGAGACACGGCCCAGACUCCUACGGGAGGCAGCAGUGGGGAAUUUUGGACAAAGGGGGCAACCCUGAUCCAGCCAUCCCGCGUGUGCGAUGAAGGCCUUCGGGUUGUAAAGCACUUUUGGCAGGAAAGAAACGUCGCGGGCUAAUACCCCGUGGAACUGACGGUACCUGCAGAAUAAGCACCGGCUAACUACGUG